This 91-nucleotide transfer RNA is filed under the name Planosporangium flavigriseum. Its description in RNAcentral is "tRNA-Tyr". The record is from RNAcentral. Lineage: Bacteria; Bacillati; Actinomycetota; Actinomycetes; Micromonosporales; Micromonosporaceae.
GGUUGCGUUGGUCGACCGGGUGGAUUGCGGGACUCUGUAGAAGUUCCGACAGUGCCUUGGCUCGCGAGUCGCUCGCGUCCACUCGCUCCCA